Molecule: transfer RNA, 73 nt
Filed under: Mus musculus (house mouse)
Lineage: Eukaryota; Metazoa; Chordata; Mammalia; Rodentia; Muridae
Rfam family: tRNA
About the family: Transfer RNA (tRNA) molecules are approximately 80 nucleotides in length. Their secondary structure includes four short double-helical elements and three loops (D, anti-codon, and T loops). Further hydrogen bonds mediate the characteristic L-shaped molecular structure. tRNAs have two regions of fundamental functional importance: the anti-codon, which is responsible for specific mRNA codon recognition, and the 3' end, to which the tRNAs corresponding amino acid is attached (by aminoacyl-tRNA synthetases). tRNAs cope with the degeneracy of the genetic code in two manners: having more than one tRNA (with a specific anti-codon) for a particular amino acid; and 'wobble' base-pairing, i.e. permitting non-standard base-pairing at the 3rd anti-codon position.
Source: Rfam by way of RNAcentral
GGAGAGAUGGCUCAGCAGUUAAGAGCACUGAAUGCUCUUUCAGAGGUCCUGAGUUCAAUUCCCAGCAACCCCA